GUCCACGCCCUAAACGAUGGCGACUAGUUGUUGGGGGAUGAACUCCCUUAGUAACGCAGCUAACGCGUGAAGUCGCCCGCCUGGGGAGUACGGUCGCAAGAUUAAAACUCAAAGGAAUUGACGGGGGCCCGCACAAGCGGUGGAUGAUGUGGUUCAAUUCGAUGCAACGCGAAAACCUUACCUACCCUUGACAUGCCAGGAAGGCCGCAGAGAUGUGGUUGUGCCCGAAAGGGAGCCUGGACACAGGUGCUGCAUGGCUGUCGU
This 264-nucleotide ribosomal RNA is filed under the name uncultured bacterium. RNAcentral's name for it is "partial 16S ribosomal RNA". It matches the Rfam family "Bacterial small subunit ribosomal RNA", at positions 793 to 1055 of the family's 1533-position model. The record is from RNAcentral.